Molecule: ribosomal RNA, 899 nt
Filed under: uncultured archaeon
Lineage: Archaea
Description: bacterial SSU rRNA
Rfam family: Archaeal small subunit ribosomal RNA
Source: RNAcentral
CUCCGGUUGAUCCCGCCGGACCCGACUGCUAUCGGAUUGAGAUUUAGCCAUGCGAGUCGAACGUUCCCCUGUUGCGGGGAGCGUGGCGUACGGCUCAGUAACACGUAGUCAACCUGCCCUGGAGACAAGGACAACCCCGGGAAACUGGGAUUAAUCCUUGAUAGGUCAUCUCAUCUGGAAGGAGAGAUGGCUUAAAGGGGUACGCGGGCUUCUUCCGCGAAUUCGCUCCAGGAUGGGACUGCGUCCGAUCAGGCUGUUGGCGGGGUAAUGGCCCACCAAACCUGUAACCGGUACGGGCCUUGAGAGAGGUGGCCCGGAGAUGGACACUGAGAGAAGGGUCCAGGUCCUACGGGGCGCAGCAGGCGCGAAACCUUCGCAAUGCGCGAAAGCGUGACGAGGUUAAUCCGAGUGACUCCCGCUGAGGGGGUCUUUUGUCAGCUGUAAAUAGGCAGGCGAAUAAGGGGAGGGCAAGCCUGGUGUCAGCCGCCGCAGUAAUACCAGCUCCUCGAGUGGUCGGGGCGAUUAUUGGGCCUAAAGCAUCCGUAGCCGGUUCCGUAGGUCCUCUGUUAAAUCCAACCGCUCAACGGUUGACCUGCAGAGGAUACCGCGGGACUAGGAGGCGGGAGAGGCGGACGGUACUCCGCGUGUAGGGGUAAAAUCCUUUGAUCCGCGGAAGACCACCAGUGGCGAAGGCGGUCCGCCAGAACGCGCUCGACGGUGAGGGAUGAAAGCUGGGGGAGCAAACCGGAUUAGAUACCCGGGUAGUCCCAGCCGUAAACGAUGCAGACUCGGUGAUGGGUUGGCUUCGCGCUAACUCAGUGCCGCAGGGAAGCCGUUAAGUCUGCCGCCUGGGUAGUACGGUCGCAAGACUGAAACUUAAAGGAAUUGGCGGGGGAGCA